UACGGGAGGCAGCAGUAGGGAAUAUUGGGCAAUGGAGGCAACUCUGACCCAGCCAUGCCGCGUGCAGGAUGAAGGCGUUAUGCGUUGUAAACUGCUUUUAUAUAGGAAGAAAUAGACCUUGCGAGGUAAUUUGACGGUACUAUAUGAAUAAGCACCGGCUAACUCCGUGCCAGCAGCCGCGGUAAUACGGAGGGUGCAAGCGUUGUCCGGAUUUAUUGGGUUUAAAGGGUGCGUAGGCGGUUUAUUAAGUCAGUGGUGAAAGACGGUCGCUCAACGAUUGCAGUGCCAUUGAUACUGGUAGACUUGAGUGAGAUUGAGGUAGCUGGAAUGGAUAGUGUAGCGGUGAAAUGCAUAGAUAUUAUCCAGAACACCAAUUGCGUAGGCAAGUUACUAAGUCUCAACUGACGCUGAGGCACGAAAGUGUGGGUAUCAAACCAGGAUUAGAUACCCUGGUAGUCCACACUGUAAACGAUGAUAACUAACUGUUGGCUUUCGGGUCAGUGGUACAGAGAAAUCGUUAAGUAUC
RNAcentral lists this ribosomal RNA (526 nucleotides) under uncultured Flectobacillus sp. RNAcentral's name for it is "bacterial SSU rRNA". It matches the Rfam family "Bacterial small subunit ribosomal RNA", at positions 340 to 869 of the family's 1533-position model. The record is from RNAcentral. Lineage: Bacteria; Pseudomonadati; Bacteroidota; Cytophagia; Cytophagales; Flectobacillaceae.